GGCAAAGAGAGAACAGCGAAAAGAUAACGUGCUAAUUUUUUCCUUCUAGAGACAGAAGCACAUCGGGGUCAUGAAAUUAUACCCUUUUUAUGGUGUUGCUGUCAUUUCUGCACUUCAACAAGGAGAAAGCAGAAAAAGAAAAAUAAAAAAGGAAAAGAAGUCAAACAUCAUUAAAUAGUCUGCAGAAAGAACUUUGAAGACAAAGGCUGAAGUGGGAGGUAAUGCCAGUCUGUUCCCCUG
RNAcentral lists this long non-coding RNA (240 nucleotides) under Fukomys damarensis (Damara mole-rat). RNAcentral's name for it is "lncRNA (ENSFDAG00000030183.1)". Lineage: Eukaryota; Metazoa; Chordata; Mammalia; Rodentia; Bathyergidae. The record is from RNAcentral.